This 244-nucleotide unclassified non-coding RNA is filed under the name plant metagenome. RNAcentral's name for it is "partial contains small subunit ribosomal RNA, internal transcribed spacer 1, and 5.8S ribosomal RNA". The record is from RNAcentral.
UCUCCGUUGGUGAACCAGCGGAGGGAUCAUUACCGAGUUUACAACUCCCAAACCCAAUGUGAACCAUACCAAACUGUUGCCUCGGCGGGGUCACGCCCCGGGUGCGUCGCAGCCCCGGAACCAGGCGCCCGCCGGAGGGACCAACCAAACUCUUUCUGUAGUCCCCUCGCGGACGUUAUUUUUACAGCUCUGAGCAGAAAUUCAAAAUGAAUCAAAACUUUCAACAACGGAUCUCUUGGUUCUG